AGACUCCUACGGGAGGCAGCAGUGGGGAAUUUUGGACAAUGGGCGAAAGCCUGAUCCAGCAAUGCCGCGUGUGUGAAGAAGGCCUUCGGGUUGUAAAGCACUUUUGUCCGGAAAGAAAUGGCUCUGGUUAAUACCUGGGGUCGAUGACGGUACCGGAAGAAUAAGGACCGGCUAACUACGUGCCAGCAGCCGCGGUAAUACGUAGGGUCCAAGCGUUAAUCGGAAUUACUGGGCGUAAAGCGUGCGCAGGCGGUUGUGCAAGACCGAUGUGAAAUCCCCGAGCUUAACUUGGGAAUUGCAUUGGUGACUGCACGGCUAGAGUGUGUCAGAGGGGGGUAGAAUUCCACGUGUAGCAGUGAAAUGCGUAGAGAUGUGGAGGAAUACCGAUGGCGAAGGCAGCCCCCUGGGAUAACACUGACGCUCAUGCACGAAAGCGUGGGGAGCAAACAGGAUUAGAUACCCUGGUAGUCCACGCCCUAAACGAUGUCAACUAGUUGUUGGGGAUUCAUUUCCUUAGUAACGUAGCUAACGCGUGAAGUUGACCGCCUGGGG
RNAcentral lists this ribosomal RNA (552 nucleotides) under uncultured Ralstonia sp. RNAcentral describes it as "bacterial SSU rRNA". It matches the Rfam family "Bacterial small subunit ribosomal RNA", at positions 333 to 878 of the family's 1533-position model. Lineage: Bacteria; Pseudomonadati; Pseudomonadota; Betaproteobacteria; Burkholderiales; Burkholderiaceae. The record is from RNAcentral.